GAGGGUAUAGCUCCAGUGGGAGAGUGUCUGCUUAGCAUGCACGAGGUCCUGGGUUCAAUCCCCAGUUCCGCCA
This 73-nucleotide transfer RNA is filed under the name Camelus bactrianus (Bactrian camel). It matches the Rfam family "tRNA". Rfam says of the family: Transfer RNA (tRNA) molecules are approximately 80 nucleotides in length. Their secondary structure includes four short double-helical elements and three loops (D, anti-codon, and T loops). Further hydrogen bonds mediate the characteristic L-shaped molecular structure. tRNAs have two regions of fundamental functional importance: the anti-codon, which is responsible for specific mRNA codon recognition, and the 3' end, to which the tRNAs corresponding amino acid is attached (by aminoacyl-tRNA synthetases). tRNAs cope with the degeneracy of the genetic code in two manners: having more than one tRNA (with a specific anti-codon) for a particular amino acid; and 'wobble' base-pairing, i.e. permitting non-standard base-pairing at the 3rd anti-codon position. The record is from Rfam by way of RNAcentral. Lineage: Eukaryota; Metazoa; Chordata; Mammalia; Artiodactyla; Camelidae. RNAcentral also lists the same sequence under 2 other names.